GUUCUCAUCGUCUAACUGGUCAGGAUGCCACACUCUCAAUGUGGUGAUUUGGGUUCGAUCCCCAAUGAGAAUA
RNAcentral lists this transfer RNA (73 nucleotides) under Acinetobacter phage vB_AbaM_Acibel004. It matches the Rfam family "tRNA". From Rfam's summary of the family: Transfer RNA (tRNA) molecules are approximately 80 nucleotides in length. Lineage: Duplodnaviria; Heunggongvirae; Uroviricota; Caudoviricetes; Luriaviridae. The record is from Rfam by way of RNAcentral.